Molecule: long non-coding RNA, 1007 nt
Organism: Oreochromis niloticus (Nile tilapia)
Lineage: Eukaryota; Metazoa; Chordata; Actinopteri; Cichliformes; Cichlidae
Exons: 3
Source: RefSeq, a predicted model, not a curated record
UCUGUGUGGUUUCCUGGAGAGUCCAGGAUGUGGACUUGAAACUCUGAGAUUGUGUCGCUGUGGUUUGUCAGAGAUCAGCUGUGAUUAUCUGGCAGCAGCACUGAAGUCCAACCCCUCCCAUCUGAGAGAGCUGAACCUGUGGGGAAACAACCUGAAGCAUCCAGAUGUGAAGCAGCUGUCUGAUCUUAAACGGAGUCCAGACUACAGACUGGAGACUCUGGGGUGGAGGUGAUGAUGGUAAACAGGACGGUGUGUGUGCUGAGAGAGGAGGAGCUGUGUCCUGAUGAUCCAGAGAGGUUGAAGCAGCAGCAGCUUGUGUGUAGAGACGCUCUGACUGGGCCAUGUUACUGGGAGGUGGAGAGGAGAGCUUCAUCCAGCAGUGACUGACAGAGGAAUGAAGUGCAGAUGACUGUCAGUGCUGCAGAGCGAACUGCUCUGAGAACAGCUCCACUGUCAGACACAAUGUAGAGUCCAGCAUCAUCCCUGUGUGUCCUCUGGAUCUGACAGAGGAUCUCAGUGUAUCUGGACGGCUCUGCUGCUGCUCUGUCCUUCUACAGUCUCUGCACAGUCUCUGUCUGACUCUGGCUUCAGACCCUCCUGGAUCAAACUCACCGGGACAGACUUUCAAACAUCACUCAAUAGAUUUGAAUACAGAAUAUAUUUGAUAUACACUGUAGAUGUACUGUAGAGUUGCAGUUUGUCACUUGUAAAUACAGUCUGUGAGCAGCUAUGAGCUGAAAGAUCUUUCUAGAAACACAAAAUGUUUUCACUCUUCUGUUGCUUUUUCAUAUAUUUCCACAACAUUAAUAUUGAUCCCACCUGUCUCACCUGUUUCAUGCUUUUAUACAUAAUAACAGGACACGUGUGAUCUGAGCGCUGCUGUGGUUGCUGUGCUGCACGUCUUCAUUUAGAUAACAGAGACAUCUAGUGGUUCAGAGGGAGAACUGCAGGAGGUGGAGCUGUGUUUUAGCAUGGAAAACUUUUUAUCUUUUAGGCGCAGAUACAAA